CGUACACUCCUGCGGGAGGCAGCAGUGGGGAAUAUUGGACAAUGGGCGCAAGCCUGAUCCAGCCAUGCCGCGUGAGUGAUGAAGGCCCUAGGGUUGUAAAGCUCUUUCACCGGAGAAGAUAAUGACGGUAUCCGGAGAAGAAGCCCCGGCUAACUUCGUGCCAGCAGCCGCGGUAAUACGAAGGGGGCUAGCGUUGUUCGGAAUUACUGGGCGUAAAGCGCACGUAGGCGGAUCGAUCAGUCAGGGGUGAAAUCCCAGGGCUCAACCCUGGAACUGCCUUUGAUACUGUCGAUCUGGAGUAUGGAAGAGGUGAGUGGAAUUCCGAGUGUAGAGGUGAAAUUCGUAGAUAUUCGGAGGAACACCAGUGGCGAAGGCGGCUCACUGGUCCAUUACUGACGCUGAGGUGCGAAAGCGUGGGGAGCAAACAGGAUUAGAAACCCCUGUAGUCCCAUGA
Molecule: ribosomal RNA, 454 nt
Filed under: uncultured organism
Description: partial 16S ribosomal RNA
Rfam family: Bacterial small subunit ribosomal RNA
Source: RNAcentral